This 2744-nucleotide long non-coding RNA is filed under the name Panax ginseng (ginseng). RNAcentral's name for it is "long non-coding RNA (PGIN_LNC018810)". Lineage: Eukaryota; Viridiplantae; Streptophyta; Magnoliopsida; Apiales; Araliaceae. The record is from RNAcentral.
UUUUUCGCUUCUCAACUGUCCCAAAAAAGAGGGAAAUUCGGCCUUCGACCAAGUCCUGGGCUAAUUUGCCUUUCUUCUCGAGAAACUUUCAACAAAAUAAUUGAUUUAGUUCGUCAGCGGCAGAAGAUCGAACAGUUGGGGAGCAUUAUAGAAAUAAUAAAAGAGGUAAUUAUCAGAUCAGAAAGAAGAAGAGGAAUGGUCCUUCCUCUGUUUAAGAUCGGAACACUCGCUUUCAGGACUCUCAGCAAACCCAUCGCUGGUAGACUCAAAACCGCCGCUGGCUUUCAUCCUAGAUUCCGCCAAUCUAUCAUCAACAUCGCCAGGGUACUUAUCUACUUAUGUGUGUUUUUUUACAGCAAUUCUGGAGUUAGUUUCUUUUGCAUUAAUAAAAUAGAAAUUUGGUUUUACAGACAAUGAGACAUAGUAUGAACUUAAUAUGGGUUUAAGGGAUUAAUGUUGGGGAGUUUGUUUUUUUAGAUGGGUUUAUGAGUAAAGUAGGAGAAUGUUAGUGUUUCCGGAGUCAUUAUGGAAUUUGGGCGACUCUGUUGCUGUGUUGCAUUUCUGCAUUCAGUUUUAGUUUUAACUUAAUUUCUGACUUAUAAAUAAAAAUGGUACCAACUACCAAAGACUUUUAUUUUCUAACUUAUAAGUCAUUUCAAAAUUUAAGUUCUAAGUUGUUUUAAAAUAAGUCACUUCUGUACAUCCCUUUGUGUGGCUAAUCGUUGUAUUUAGAGUAGGUCAUUCGAAGAAUAUGAAUUGUUGUCUUGAAUACAAAUUUUAGUUUCAAAUUUAGGCUUUAUUGAAAUGGACAUAAGUGAAUGUUUGUACUCAUUUUAGUAAUUUGAAUUGUUGAUCCUAAUGCAAUGUAAAAUAACAUCUGUAACAUUGAAGGAAAAUGCCAACUAUAAGUAUAAUUAUUUUUNNNNNNNNNNNNNNNNNNNNNNNNNNNNNNNNNNNNNNNNNNNNNNNNNNNNNNNNNNNNNNNNNNNNNNNNNNNNNNNNNNNNNNNNNNNNNNNNNNNNUUCUUCAUUUGGGUAAAUUUCCCAUUUUUUCCCUUAUCGAUCUAAUAGGAAAAAACAUUACAUUGACAUCUGCAUAAUCCUUAAUUUGUUCUUCAUUUAAGUUAUUGCUCACAUUAUCACAUCGUUGCAUGUUUUUCCAAUUUCUUUGUACACAGGAUACUCUACUCAAAUAAAUAAGAAUAUCAAAUAUAUAAAACUUGAGUAUUUAUUUCUGAAUUAAACGGAGGAAUCAUUAAUGGUGUCAACCAAUAAAGUAAAGUGACAUGCAUAAUGAAUUCACUCAUUGGAUUUCUUCCUAGAAAAAGGAUAUUUGAUUAGGUUUGAAAUUAAAUUAAAAACAAGAAAUAUCAUUGGAUUUCUUCACCAUGCAGUUAACUAGUUAAACAUAAAUAAUCUUAAUUUUAGAAAUUAAAUGUUGAUUAAAUGUUGUGGGUUUGAAUUAUUGCAGGUUUUUUCCCAGAGGGUAUAAGAAAAGUGCACAGGAGGGACCUCUGGUGCUUCAUAUAAACCCCUGAUUUGGUUAUUUCAUCUUAAUUCAUCACAACAUUAUACAUAAUAAAAUGGGUGACAAAACUUUUCACAUAGCUACAUCCAUGGUUUGCCAUGGGCCAUCUUACUUCUUUUCUUCAUCAAGGAUAUUUUUCUGAACAUUCUUGUUAAAAUUUAAUCUUUUCAUGUCGGGGUACUAUUCACGGAGUACUAUUCAUGAAGUACUAUUCACGGGGUACUAUUUACCCAGAAAAUUAAUUUCUUUUCUGUUUAAAUUAUUUUUGAUACAUGAAUAUUAUUCUUGAAUUUUACUCCACAAAGCAGUUGUCAUGUUGACAAUUUAGACAUUUUUAAAUUUUAGAUAAAUUAAAUUUUUUUAAUAUUUAUCCUUGAUUUCGUUUGAUUGAUGUUUAUAUCAUUGUCAUCAUUCUCAUCAUGCUUAUAUUGUGAUAAAAGUCAUCUUUGACUCGUAGUGCAUAGAUGGACUGUUGAUUGGUAUGAUUAUGACUAUGUAUCGGUAUAAUCAUGACCAUUAGUGAUAAUACGAAUAUCCUUGGCUUGUAGUGCAUGGAUGAUUCGUGGAUGUGAUAAUAAUGAAUAUCCUUGGCCCGUAGUGCAUGGAUAAUUUAGUGAUGUUGAUUAUUUAUUGAGCUGAGUCUCAGUGAUAAAAUUGAUGAUAAACUUUUAAAUUAUAGAAGAUAGUAGAUAUCAUGCUCUACUUGACUCUUUUAAUGGAUUAUUUGUUCCGCUGCAGUUAAACUUGUUGUCUAUUGUAUUCCAUCAGUUUAACACUGUUGAAGGCUAACGAUAAUUUUUUUUGUAUUAUUUUAGUCAUAAUAUUAUUUACUAGAUUAGUUGAGCUCACCCUUUGCUUUCAUUGUUCUCCUCAGGAAAUGAGAAUAUAGCUGAGCUAGUCAGAGAAUGGAGUGACGGUCCAGAUGGUUGCUUUAGUAGUCCUCACUAUUCUGUAAAAUAGUGUAAUAAUAAUUGUAAUGAGGACUUCAUUUGAGUUUGAAUAUUUUUUAGGAGACAAUAUUCAUGUUAAAACUCUCAGCUUAUUUUACACGAUAGUUGUAUAAUUAAGUUUGUAUUUGUAUUCUAUACCAUGUAUUUGGCGACUCAAAAUGGGUGAUGUAUACCUAUUUUGGGGGCGUCAAAGCUUGAGCAACUUUAACUUUAUCGAUUAAAGUCACUUUACUCGUAUAUUUGUUAUCAUCACGUGGGUCCCUAGAG